Molecule: ribosomal RNA, 560 nt
Filed under: uncultured bacterium
Lineage: Bacteria
Description: bacterial SSU rRNA
Rfam family: Bacterial small subunit ribosomal RNA
Source: RNAcentral
AGAGUUUGAUCAUGGCUCAGGAUGAACGCCGGCGGUGUGCCUAAUACAUGCAAGUCGUACGCACUGGCCCAACUGAUUGAUGGUGCUUGCACCUGAUUGACGUUGGAUCACCAGUGAGUGGCGGACGGGUGAGUAACACGUAGGUAACCUGCCCCGGAGCGGGGGAUAACAUUUGGAAACAGAUGCUAAUACCGCAUAACAACAAAAGCCACAUGGCUUUUGUUUGAAAGAUGGCUUUGGCUAUCACUCUGGGAUGGACCUGCGGUGCAUUAGCUAGUUGGUAAGGUAACGGCUUACCAAGGCGAUGAUGCAUAGCCGAGUUGAGAGACUGAUCGGCCACAAUGGAACUGAGACACGGUCCAUACUCCUACGGGAGGCAGCAGUAGGGAAUCUUCCACAAUGGGCGCAAGCCUGAUGGAGCAACACCGCGUGAGUGAAGAAGGGUUUCGGCUCGUAAAACUCUGUUGUUGGAGAAAAACGUGCGUGAGAGUAACUGUUCACGCAGUGACGGUAUCCAACCAGAAAGUCACGGCUAACUACGUGCCAGCAGCCGCGGUAAU